Molecule: long non-coding RNA, 318 nt
Filed under: Vigna radiata
Lineage: Eukaryota; Viridiplantae; Streptophyta; Magnoliopsida; Fabales; Fabaceae
Description: long non-coding RNA (VRAD_LNC008951)
Source: RNAcentral
UCAAAAUGGGUCACAACCCGUGAGUCAACCCGGCCUGCCACGGGUUUGGGUUGGGUUGGGUUUGAAAAAAUUGAAGUUUUUUAUGCGGGUCAGAUUUCAACCCGACUCAUUUAAACCUGGCUCAUGCGGGUUAAACCCGUGGUGGGCCGGGUUGGCCCGCCAAUCCACCUACCUAAUUUUAUUUUUUUAAUUUAUUAUUUUAUUUAUGAAACCCUAAAAAAUAAAAUACUCUCUUCAUUCAGUGUGUAUACCAAAAAAGUAAUCUUUGCUCUCACAGAUCACUCUCACGGAACUUGCUCUCAUUUACGGUGCUGUCAC